RNAcentral lists this non-coding RNA (24 nucleotides) under Arabidopsis thaliana (thale cress). The record is from RNAcentral. Lineage: Eukaryota; Viridiplantae; Streptophyta; Magnoliopsida; Brassicales; Brassicaceae.
AUAUUUGUUAUUAAGUAACGUCCU